ACUGUUGUUUAAGUCCAAAGAAGGCUUCUGUUUACAUGCUUUUGCUGAAGGAUGAGUCCGCGUACCAUUAGCUAAGUUGGUAGGGUAAUGGCCUACCAAGGCGACGAUGGUUAGCUGGCCUGAGAGGAUGAUCAGCCACACUGGAACUGAGACACGGUCCAGACUCCUACGGGAGGUCAGCAGUGAGGAAUAUUGCGCAAUGGGGGCAACCCUGACGCAGCAACGCCGCGUGAGUGAGGAAGGUUUUCGGACCGUAAAGCUCUGUCGAGCGGGAAGAAAUGCAUGGUGGCUAAUAUCCAUCAUGCUUGACGGUACCGCUAAAGGAAGCACCGGCUAACUCCGUG
This 344-nucleotide ribosomal RNA is filed under the name uncultured bacterium. Its description in RNAcentral is "bacterial SSU rRNA". It matches the Rfam family "Bacterial small subunit ribosomal RNA", at positions 187 to 507 of the family's 1533-position model. The record is from RNAcentral.